Molecule: ribosomal RNA, 253 nt
Filed under: uncultured bacterium
Lineage: Bacteria
Description: partial 16S ribosomal RNA
Rfam family: Bacterial small subunit ribosomal RNA
Source: RNAcentral
UACGUAGGGGGCAAGCGUUGUCCGGAUUCAUUGGGCGUAAAGAGCGUGUAGGCGGCCAGGUCGGUCGGUUGUGAAAACUGGAGGCUCAACCUUCAGAGGUCGACCGAAACCAUCUGGCUAGAGUCCGGGAGAGGAGAGUGGAAUUCCUGGUGUAGCGGUGAAAUGCGCAGAUAUCAGGAAGAACACCCGUGGCGAAAGCGGUUCUCUGGAACGGUACUGACGCUGAGACGCGAAAGCGUGGGGAGCGAACAGG